Molecule: unclassified non-coding RNA, 2452 nt
Filed under: Hevea brasiliensis (rubber tree)
Lineage: Eukaryota; Viridiplantae; Streptophyta; Magnoliopsida; Malpighiales; Euphorbiaceae
Source: RNAcentral
GAAAAAAAAAUUUUUCAACACAUGAGAUAAUAUGAAUAAAUGGAAGUUAAAUCAAUAAUGUACAUGACAAGAUAAGAUAAAGUGCUCCGGCACUAAAUAUGGCACGCCUUGCUCGGCUACACUAUAGACAGAUAAGGAGCGUUACAAAGUCUUAUUGGAGAUAGGUGAUUAGAUGUUGUAAAUAGGUGGAAGAGCUACUUAUGAGUAGAAUAUCAUUUAUGUAUAUUAAGUAAAAAGCUUGACAAGUUCCAUUGCUGAAGGAGAAUAAGGAAGAAUCAACACUUGAAGGUCUGAAACCAUUCUCAAUAACAGCUGAAGCAAGGUGCUUAUACAAUUAUCGUGGUGCGUCGCGUAAGCCAUAUAAAGAAUGAUGAAGCUUGCACACAAACGUUGAUUUUUCUGGAUCAACGAAACCUAGGGGCUGCAUCAUACAAAUAGGACUGUCAAUAUUACCAUGUAAAAAUGCGUUUGAAACUUCAAGUUGCUUAAUGUGCCACCCACAAGUCAAGCUUUGUAUCAUUCAACAAACCCAUCUUAAAGGUAUUUCACACAAAUACCCACUUGCAACUGAUGAUAUUUUGUGCUUCUUGAGGUGGAACCAAUUCCCAUGUUCCAGUGGCCAUGAGAGCAUUGAACUCUUAUUCCAUCUCUGCUCGCCAUUGUGUACUUUUUAUAGCUUGUGUACAGCAAGUCGAGACUAAGUUAAAGGAGUGAACUGUAUUGUAAAGCUUAGGUUUGAGGUUCCUAGUUUAGGAUUGGGCAGCCAUGGGGUGCGUUUUGGUUGAUUGAGGUUGGGAAGGUGGAGGAUUGGAACUCAGGUCAACUAUUUAAAAAAAACCAUCGGAGUAAGGAGUGGUAUACAUGGGAGGGGGACAUUAUAGACUUCGUGAUAUUAUGGGAGAUGUAGGUGACGUAUGUUUAGGCGAGAGUGGCAUGGUUAUGAUUGAUUUGUGAAUCAUGGUUAGGUACUUGAAUUUGUGGAGUGAUAACAGGUGUCCCAUUGGAAUGUGUAUGUGGCAUGAGAGAUUGGGAAGUAAGUGGAGUAUUGUCUUGGGUACGUGUAUGACUAUGAGUCAUUACAAGUACAUGUGAAUGGAUAGAAGUGCUUGGUGGUGGACCCAAAAUGCUAGGUUAGGUGUCGUGAAAAGAUGGGAUUGGUGGCAAGGAUAUAUGUGAGGUGGUUGGACCAAUCAAUGGAGAGAUCACUUCCUUAUUCGUAGCACAACUAAAAGGAAAGACUUUUUCAUGAAAAUUAAUGUGAUGUGAGAUGUAGAAUUUUCCACAAGAAUAAUCAUGGUAAUAAUAUCCUUUAUGUAACCAACUAUAUCCUAAGAAAACCGAAGGAAUAUAUUUAGGAGAUAAUUUAUGCACAGAAUAAGGCUUCAACCAUGGAUAACACAAACAACCAAGGACUCGUAACUCAUUAUAAUUUUGCACAGAAUGAAACAAAAUUUCAUAUGGUGCCGAAGGUUUGCUAUGGACAGAUGGAAUAUAAUUCAUUGUAUAGACGGCAACUUCGAAGGCAUAAGUCCAAAAUUUGGUUGGAACAUGAGAAUGAUGCAAUAAUGCAUGACUUGUCUCAACUCCGUACUUGUGCUUGAGCUCGAUAUAACCAUUCUGUUUAGGGGUACAGGGAUAAGAGACACACUAAGAGAUACCAUUUUCUCUAAGAUAUUUGGCCACUGACUGAUAUUCCCCACCCCAAUCUGCUUGAAAUGUUUUAAUGGGAACCCUAAAAUAUUUUUCAAUAAGACUACAAAAUUUUAUGAACACGAGUAGAAAUUUAGAUUUCUUUUUAAAGGAAUAUAUCUAGCAUAUUUGUUGAAGCGGUCAUAAAAUAUAACAUAAUGUUUUUCACCAUGUACAGAGGUAAUAGGUGAAGGGCCCAAAACAUCAAAGCAAACUAACUGUAAAGGAGUAGUAACGACAAUAUUUGAAUAUGCAAAUGUUAGCUUAUGAAUUUUGCUAGCAUUACAAGCAUUGUAAGGAAGCAAGUCUGCAUUAUUAUUACUAAGAGGAAUUUUAUUAUUGGACAAAACAGAACGAAUAGUAUGAGAAUUAGCAUAAGCCAAUCGUGCAUGCCAAGUACUAAAAGUGACAUAAUGAACUUACGGACGAAUAGACUUGGUGGGUUGUAGAGAUAAAGCGUAAAGACCAUUUUCAUUCUGGUCUUAGCAUAAGGGUUGCCUCAUGCGGAUAUCCAUUGCCUAAAGCAGUUUCAUUGGUGCCAUGGUAAGGAGUGGCUUGAGAAAUAUUCUCUGGUUGUGCUGUGAUAUGGCAGUUAGCUCCAAAAUCAACUGUCCAGCUCUGAGAAGAUGAUCCAUUAGUGGAGGUAAGAUUAUAUGCAGGUUGGCGGGAGAAAUAGUUAGCGUUGUGCAUUUUGGGAGAAGGACAUCGUUUUGCAAUAUGACCUUGACCAUGACAGCUAUGGCAGAUGAUGUUUGGGUUGUUU